GACGAACGCUGGCGGCGUGCUUAACACAUGCAAGUCGAACGGAAAGGCCCUGCUUGCAGGGUACUCGAGUGGCGAACGGGUGAGUAACACGUGGGUGAUCUGCCCUGCACUUCGGGAUAAGCCUGGGAAACUGGGUCUAAUACCGGAUAGGAGCCAUUUUUAGUGUGAUGGUUGGAAAGUUUUUUUCGGUGUAGGAUGAGCUCGCGGCCUAUCAGCUUGUUGGUGGGGUAAUGGCCUACCAAGGCGGCGACGGGUAGCCGGCCUGAGAGGGUGGACGGCCACAUUGGGACUGAGAUACGGCCCAGACUCCUACGGGAGGCAGCAGUGGGGAAUAUUGCACAAUGGGCGCAAGCCUGAUGCAGCGACGCCGCGUGGGGGAUGACGGCCUUCGGGUUGUAAACUCCUUUCGCUAGGGACGAAGCUUUUAGUGACGGUACCUAGAUAAGAAGCACCGGCUAACUACGUG
RNAcentral lists this ribosomal RNA (466 nucleotides) under uncultured bacterium. RNAcentral's name for it is "partial 16S ribosomal RNA". It matches the Rfam family "Bacterial small subunit ribosomal RNA", at positions 28 to 507 of the family's 1533-position model. The record is from RNAcentral.